RNAcentral lists this ribosomal RNA (90 nucleotides) under Gammaproteobacteria bacterium. RNAcentral describes it as "partial 16S ribosomal RNA". It matches the Rfam family "Bacterial small subunit ribosomal RNA", at positions 1 to 101 of the family's 1533-position model. The record is from RNAcentral. Lineage: Bacteria; Pseudomonadati; Pseudomonadota; Gammaproteobacteria.
UAAUUGAAGAGUUUGAUCAUGGCUCAGAUUGAACGCUGGCGGCAGGCCUAACACAUGCAAGUCGAGCGGGGUUUUCGGACCUAGCGGCGG